GGCUACGUAGCUCAGGUGGCUAGAGCGGCGGAUUCAUAGCCCGCAGGUCAGUGGUUCGAGUCCACUCGUAGCCA
Molecule: transfer RNA, 74 nt
Filed under: Phycisphaerae bacterium
Lineage: Bacteria; Pseudomonadati; Planctomycetota; Phycisphaerae
Description: tRNA-Met
Rfam family: tRNA
About the family: Transfer RNA (tRNA) molecules are approximately 80 nucleotides in length. Their secondary structure includes four short double-helical elements and three loops (D, anti-codon, and T loops).
Source: RNAcentral